Molecule: ribosomal RNA, 427 nt
Filed under: uncultured Fusibacter sp.
Lineage: Bacteria; Bacillati; Bacillota; Clostridia; Eubacteriales; Fusibacteraceae
Description: bacterial SSU rRNA
Rfam family: Bacterial small subunit ribosomal RNA
Source: RNAcentral
AACGCGAAGAACCUUACCAGAUCUUGACAUCCAAUUGACCAUCUUUUAAUCGUAGAUUUUGCCUUCGGGUACAAUUGAGACAGGUGGUGCAUGGUUGUCGUCAGCUCGUGUCGUGAGAUGUUGGGUUAAGUCCCGCAACGAGCGCAACCUUGUGUUUAGUUGCAAACAGGUCAAGCUGUGCACUCUAGACAGACUGCCGUGGACAACACGGAGGAAGGUGGGGAUGACGUCAAAUCAUCAUGCCCCUUAUGAUCUGGGCUACACACGUGCUACAAUGGCCGGUACAACGGGCAGCGAAGGAGCGAUCCGGAGCGAAUCCUAAAAAGCCGGUCCCAGUUCGGAUUGCAGGCUGAAACUCGCCUACAUGAAGUUGGAGUUGCUAGUAAUCGCGAAUCAGAAUGUCGCGGUGAAUGCGUUCCCGGGUCUU